UACGAGGGGGGCUAGCGUUGCUCGGAAUCACUGGGCGUAAAGGGUGCGUAGGCGGGUCUUUAAGUCAGGGGUGAAAUCCUGGAGCUCAACUCCAGAACUGCCUUUGAUACUGAAGAUCUUGAGGACUGGAGAGGAGACUGGAAUUUACGGUGUAGCGGUGAAAUGCGUAGAUAUCGUAAGGAAGACCAGUGGCGAAGGCGGGUCUCUGGACAGUUCCUGACGCUGAGGCACGAAGGCCAGGGGAGCAAACGGG
Molecule: ribosomal RNA, 253 nt
Filed under: uncultured bacterium
Lineage: Bacteria
Description: partial 16S ribosomal RNA
Rfam family: Bacterial small subunit ribosomal RNA
Source: RNAcentral